This 1259-nucleotide long non-coding RNA is filed under the name Salmo salar (Atlantic salmon). RNAcentral's name for it is "lncRNA (ENSSSAG00000107010.1)". Lineage: Eukaryota; Metazoa; Chordata; Actinopteri; Salmoniformes; Salmonidae. The record is from RNAcentral.
UGGUGUGGUUAGUUACCUAUGAACGAGGUGGUGUGGUUAGUUACCUAUGAACGUGGUGGUGUGGUUAGUUACCUAUGAACAAGGUAGUGGUGGUGUGGUUAGUUACCUAUGAACAAGGUAGUGGUGGUGUGGUUAGUUACCUAUGAACGUGGUGGUGUGGUUAGUUACCUAUGAACGUGGUGGUGUGGUUAGUUACCUAUGAGCGUGGUGGUGUGGUUAGUUACCUAUGAGCGUGGUGGUGUGGUUAGUUACCUAUGAGCGUGGUGGUGUGGUUAGUUACCUAUGAACGUGGUGGUGUGGUUAGUUACCUAUGAGCGUGGUGGUGUGGUUAGUUACCUAUGAGCGUGGUGGUGUGGUUAGUUACCUAUGAGCGUGGUGGUGUGGUUAGUUACCUAUGAACGUGGUGGUGUGGUUAGUUACCUAUGAACAAGGUGGUGUGGUUAGUUACCUAUGAACAAGGUAGUGGUGGUGUGGUUAGUUACCAAUGAACAAGGUAGUGGUGGUGUGGUUAGUAACCUAUGAACAAGGUAGUGGUGGUGUGGUUAGUUACCUAUGAACAAGGUGGUGUGGUUAGUUACCUAUGAACAAGGUAGUGGUGGUGUGGUUAGUUACCUAUGAACAAGGUAGUGGUGGUGUGGUUAGUUACCUAUGAAUAAGGUAGUGGUGGUGUGGUUAGUUACCUAUGAACAAGGUGGUGGUGGUGUGGUUAGUUACCUAUGAACAAGGUGGUGUGGUUAUGUUACCUAUGAAUAAGGUAGUGGUGGUGUGGUUAGUAACCUAUGAACAAGGUAGUGGCGGUGUGGUUAGUUACCUAUGAACAAGGUGGUGGUGGUGUGGUUAGUUACCUAUGAAUAAGGUAGUGGUGGUGUGGUUAGUUACCUCUGAAUAAGGUAGUGGUGGUGUGGUUAGUAACCUAUGAACAAGGUAGUGGCGGUGUGGUUAGUUACCUAUGAACAAGGUGGUGUGGUUAGUUACCUAUGAACAAGGUGGUGGUGGUGUGGUUAGUUACUUAUGAACAAGGUGGUGUGGUUAGUUACCUAUGAAUAAGGCGGUGGCGGUGUGGUUAGUUAGCGAUGAACAAGGUAGUGGUGGUGUGGUUAGUUACCUAUGAACAAGGUGGUGUGGUUAGUUACCUAUGAACAAGGUGGUGUGGUUAGUUACCUAUGAACAAGGUAGUGGUGGUGUGGUUAGUUACCUAUGAACGUGGUGGUGUGGUUAGUUACCUAUGAACAAGGUAGUGGUGGUGUGGUUAGUUACCU